CUGGCGGCGUGCUUAACACAUGCAAGUCGAACGGCAAAGGGGACUUCGGUCCUGAGUAAAGUGGCGCACGGGUGAGUAACGCGUAGAUAACCUGUCUUCAUGUCUGGAAUAAUACGCCGAAAGGGGUACUAAUACCGGAUAUUCUUGCUUUUCAUAAGUUAUGCAAGCAAAGGUGGCCUCUGCAUAUGCUACUGCAUGAAGAGGGGUCUGCGUACCAUUAGCUAGUAGGUGGGGUAAUGGCCUACCUAGGCGACGAUGGUUAGCGGGUCUGAGAGGAUGAUCCGCCACACUGGCACUGGAACACGGGCCAGACUCCUACGGGAGGCAGCAGUGAGGAAUAUUGCGCAAUGGGGGAAACCCUGACGCAGCGACGCCGCGUGAGUGAAGGAAGGCCUUCGGGUCGUAAAGCUCUGUCAAGAGGAAAGAAGUGUACAAUGGCUAAUACCUGUUGUAUUUGACGGUACCUCUAAAGGAAGCACCGGCUAACUCCGUGCCAGCAGCCGC
This 504-nucleotide ribosomal RNA is filed under the name uncultured bacterium. Its description in RNAcentral is "bacterial SSU rRNA". It matches the Rfam family "Bacterial small subunit ribosomal RNA", at positions 36 to 518 of the family's 1533-position model. The record is from RNAcentral.